RNAcentral lists this ribosomal RNA (253 nucleotides) under uncultured bacterium. Its description in RNAcentral is "partial 16S ribosomal RNA". It matches the Rfam family "Bacterial small subunit ribosomal RNA", at positions 524 to 776 of the family's 1533-position model. The record is from RNAcentral.
UACGAAGGGGGCUAGCGUUGUUCGGAAUUACUGGGCGUAAAGCGCACGUAGGCGGAUAUUUAAGUCGGGGGUGAAAUCCCGGGGCUCAACCCCGGAAUGGCCUUCGAGACUGGUGGUCUUGAGUUCGAGAGAGGUGAGUGGAAUUCCGAGUGUAGAGGUGAAAUUCGUAGAUAUUCGGAGGAACACCAGUGGCGAAGGCGGCUCACUGGCUCGACACUGACGCUGAGGUGCGAAAGCGUGGGGAGCAAACAGG